This 230-nucleotide unclassified non-coding RNA is filed under the name Hevea brasiliensis (rubber tree). The record is from RNAcentral. Lineage: Eukaryota; Viridiplantae; Streptophyta; Magnoliopsida; Malpighiales; Euphorbiaceae.
AUUGCACUCUCUUUUUUCUACUAUUCACGAAGGGGACAUCUGAGGCGGACAGAGAGAGAUGUUGGACAUCAAUUUGUUCAGGGAAGAGAAGGGAAACAAUCCUGAAAUCAUCCGUGAGUCUCAACGCCGCCGAUUUGCUGACGUUGGACUCGUUGAUGAAGUCAUUAAGCUUGACAAGGAAUGGCGUCAACGCCAGUUUGAACUUGAGAAUCUCAGGAAGGAGUUCAACA